Molecule: ribosomal RNA, 726 nt
Filed under: Actinomycetes bacterium
Lineage: Bacteria; Bacillati; Actinomycetota; Actinomycetes
Description: bacterial SSU rRNA
Rfam family: Bacterial small subunit ribosomal RNA
Source: RNAcentral
UACUCGAGCGGCGAACGGGUGAGUAACACGUGAGCAACCUGCCCUAGGCUUUGGGAUAACCCUCGGAAACGGGGGCUAAUACCGGAUAUUCACUUGCGGACGCAUGUUUGUGGGUGGAAAGUUUUUCGGCUUGGGAUGGGCUCGCGGCCUAUCAGCUUGUUGGUGGGGUGAUGGCCUACCAAGGCGACGACGGGUAGCCGGCCUGAGAGGGCGACCGGCCACACUGGGACUGAGACACGGCCCAGACUCCUACGGGAGGCAGCAGUGGGGAAUAUUGCACAAUGGGCGGAAGCCUGAUGCAGCGACGCCGCGUGAGGGAUGACGGCCUUCGGGUUGUAAACCUCUUUCAGCAGGGACGAAGCGUGAGUGACGGUACCUGCAGAAGAAGCGCCGGCCAACUACGUGCCAGCAGCCGCGGUAAGACGUAGGGCGCGAGCGUUGUCCGGAUUUAUUGGGCGUAAAGAGCUCGUAGGCGGCUUGUCGCGUCGACUGUGAAAACCCGUGGCUCAACUGCGGGCCUGCAGUCGAUACGGGCAGGCUAGAGUUCGGUAGGGGAGACUGGAAUUCCUGGUGUAGCGGUGAAAUGCGCAGAUAUCAGGAGGAACACCGGUGGCGAAGGCGGGUCUCUGGGCCGAUACUGACGCUGAGGAGCGAAAGCGUGGGGAGCGAACAGGAUUAGAUACCCUGGUAGUCCACGCUGUAAACGUUGGGCGCUAGGUGUGGGGG